AGCUCAGCCCCGGCAGGGCUCCCGGCUCCAGCCCACUGGGAGCUCGCGGCGCGUCGCCGCCCAGCUAGGCUUCGGUUCACGGGCCCAUGCAAUGGGCCGAGGCAGGGCCCAGAAAUGGGCAUUUCUUGAGCCGGCAGCGUUAAGCGCCCACUGUGUGCAAGGAACGCGAGGGCAGGGCGCCGGGCUGGGGCCGAGGCCAGGAAGCAUUUGGCGGGUGCUCUGUACGAUGCUCCCUAGCGAGGCCGAUGGAGAGUGGGCUGGUUUAUCAAGCCCUACUGUGUGCAGAGGUUUCGGGUGCCAUGUGUUCAUCAGCUGUGUGCCAGCUCUGUGCUGUGCGCCCAAAGAGGAGAAACGUCGAGCCUGCCCCGCAUCCUCCCCAGCUCAUGUUCUCCCGGUGGCGAGGACAGUAAACUAAUGAAAAUGACAACUAGGGUCACUAUGAGAUUUGCUGAGCGCUUAAUAUCUGUCAGGUGCUGGACCAAGAGCUAGACGAGCAACAUUUAUUUGACUCUUAAACACCAAUGGUAUUGCCUCCUCAGAGAGCCCCACCACCACCACCCUGCUCAAAGGUGCCCCCUCCUCCAGUCACUGUGACAUCACCCUGUUUUGUCUUCACAGCGCUUCUGGUGGGGAUUGAGCUUGCAGUCCCUGUCUCUCCUAUCAGAGAGCAAGCUCCUGAGGGCAGAGAACAGCUUUGUUUACAGCAGGGCCCCCGUGCCAGGAUCGGGGCUGGAACAUGGUAGAAGCUCAAUAAAUGCUUGAUGAAUGAAUUAAGGCUCAGCCAGAUGCGUCUAAUACUUCGGCAGAUAAAUGACAGCAGCAGGGAUUUACCCCAGGUCUAACCGACAACAAAGUAUGCAAUAAUU
This 866-nucleotide long non-coding RNA is filed under the name Homo sapiens (human). RNAcentral's name for it is "HSALNT0401593". Lineage: Eukaryota; Metazoa; Chordata; Mammalia; Primates; Hominidae. The record is from RNAcentral.